This 522-nucleotide ribosomal RNA is filed under the name Chaquihua sp. BYU IGCEP080. Its description in RNAcentral is "partial 16S ribosomal RNA". It matches the Rfam family "Bacterial large subunit ribosomal RNA", at positions 1825 to 2616 of the family's 2925-position model. The record is from RNAcentral. Lineage: Eukaryota; Metazoa; Arthropoda; Insecta; Ephemeroptera; Ameletopsidae.
CGCCUUUUGUAUGAAUUAGAAGGUCUAGCCUGCCCACUGAAAUUUAAAGGGCCGCGGUAUUUUGACCGUGCAAAGGUAGCAUAAUCAUUAGUCUUCUAAUUAGAGGCUGGCAUGAAUGGUUGGACGAGGUGCUUGCUGUCUCACUAAAAUGGUGGAAUUUAACUUUUUAGUCAAAAGGCUGAAAUAGUAUUGGAGGACGAGAAGACCCUAUAGAGCUUUAUAUUUAAAGUGUUUAGUUAUUUUAGAAGACCUUUAACUUAAUUAUUAAAAUAUUUUGUUGGGGUGACAGGGAGAUAAGAUAAACUCUCUUUAAGAAAAUACACUGAUGAGUGAGUGGGUGAUCCAUUAAUUGUGAUUAUAAGACUAAGUUACCUUAGGGAUAACAGCGUAAUCUUUUUCAAGAGUUCUAAUCGACAAAAAGGAUUGCGACCUCGAUGUUGGAUUAAGGGUUAUUUUUGGGUGUAGAAGUUCAAAGUUUAGGUCUGUUCGACCUUUAAAUCCUUACAUGAUCUGAGUUCAAAC